RNAcentral lists this ribosomal RNA (800 nucleotides) under Rummeliibacillus pycnus. RNAcentral's name for it is "bacterial SSU rRNA". It matches the Rfam family "Bacterial small subunit ribosomal RNA", at positions 30 to 814 of the family's 1533-position model. Lineage: Bacteria; Bacillati; Bacillota; Bacilli; Caryophanales; Caryophanaceae. The record is from RNAcentral.
CGGGCAGUGGGCGGGGUGCUUAUACAUGCAAGUCGAGCGAAUGACGAGGAGCUUGCUCCUCUGAUUUAGCGGCGGACGGGUGAGUAAACGAGGGCAACCUGCCCUGUAGACUGGGAUAACUUCGGGAAACCGGAGCUAAUACCGGAUAAUCCAUUUCACCUCAUGGUGAAAUGUUGAAAGGCGCUUUCGGGCGUCACUACAGGAUGGGCCCGCGGUGCAUUAGCUAGUUGGUGGGGUAACGGCCUACCAAGGCGACGAUGCAUAGCCGACCUGAGAGGGUGAUCGGCCACAUUGGGACUGAGACACGGCCCAAACUCCUACGGGAGGCAGCAGUAGGGAAUCUUCCACAAUGGACGAAAGUCUGAUGGAGCAACGCCGCGUGAGUGAUGAAGGUUUUCGGAUCGUAAAACUCUGUUGUAAGGGAAGAACAAGUACGUUAGGAAAUGAACGUACCUUGACGGUACCUUAUUAGAAAGCCACGGCUAACUACGUGCCAGCAGCCGCGGUAAUACGUAGGUGGCAAGCGUUGUCCGGAUUUAUUGGGCGUAAAGCGCGCGCAGGCGGUUUCUUAAGUCUGAUGUGAAAGCCCACGGCUUAACCGUGGAGGGUCAUUGGAAACUGGGAGACUUGAGUGCAGAAGAGGAAAGUGGAAUUCCAAGUGUAGCGGUGAAAUGCGUAGAGAUUUGGAGGAACACCAGUGGCGAAGGCGACUUUCUGGUCUGCAACUGACGCUGAGGCGCGAAAGCAUGGGGAGCAAACAGGAUUAGAUACCCUGGUAGUCCAUGCCGUAAACGAUGAGU